AUGAUGGUAUUGACAGGCUUAAAGACAAGUGUCUUAUUACUAUUGAAGGUGGAUAUGUUCGGAUGCAUGACUUACUACAAGAUAUGGGUCAAGAAAUUGUUCGUCUAGAAUCACCCAACGAACCUGGUCAACGUAGUAGAUUAUUUUUUCACGAGGAUGUCUGUCAUGUGUUGGAAGAAAGCAUGGGCACAAACAGAGUUGGAGGCAUGAUGAUACAAAUGCCUAAAGGUGAGGAAGUGAUAAGGUUGAAUUCUGAAGCAUUUGUACAGAUGAAAAGACUUAGAGUGCUUAUCAAUCGUAAUGCAAGUUUUUCAAGUGGACCUAAUUAUCUCUCCAAUGAAUUAAGAGUACUUGAUUCGUUUGGAUAUCCGCUACAAUCUUUGCCACCCAAUUUCCAUGGAAAUAAACUCAUUAUCUUUAAAAUGUGUGGUAGCUUCAUCAGGGAGUUAAGCUUCAUCAACUUUAAGAAUAUGACAAUUAUGGAUUUUAGUGAUUGUAAGUUUUUAACAAAAGUUCCAAAUCUUUCAAGCAUCCCAAAUUUGAAGGAAUUGAUUGCUAGAUGGUGUAGAAGUUUAGUUGAGGUGUAUAAUUCCGUCGGAUCCAUAGCGUAUCUUUGUCAAUUGAAUUUUCGUGGAUGCUCUAACCUUGAAAAUUUUCCAACAGGCCUCAAGUUGAGAUCUUUACAAUUCCUUGAUCUUUCUUAUUGCUCAAGCCUUCGUAGCUUUCCUAAAAUUGAGUGUGAAAUGAAAUUUUAAACUGGGUUGAAUCUAUCCCACACUACAGUGGAAGAACUACCUUUAUCAAUUGGCAAUCUUGCUAGACUUGAUAGAUUACUUCUAGAUGGCUGCAAAAACCUUAAGCGUCUCCCAAUUAACUUUAUUCUUCGGUUACCACAUUUAACUGAACUUGGGAUAUUUGCUGGUUGUACAAAUCUAGUAAAGAAGAUGGGGUAUGAUGGACAAUCCAUUCUAGCUAUUGGGUCUACAAUAAUGGAAGACGAGAUUUCAUCGAAUGAAGAACAACUCCAGGAAUUGGUGCCUCCAACAAAUUCAAGCAAUGAAAGCAGUGCAUUACAAGUGUUGAAUCAUCAUAAUUGUUUUCAAUCAGAAUCAAAUUUCUUUCCAAUAUCAAGUUUCUUUACCAUGUUUGAUUCUUCGACCACUUUGACUUAUUUAGUUCUAUCGGGAAGUGAAUUUGUUAGCCUUCCCACGAUCAUCAAAGGAUUUGUCGCACUUCAUGAGCUCUGUUUGAUGCAUUGCGAGAAACUUGAAGAAAUCUUAGAACUUCCACCAAAUAUAGUAAUAGUAGAAGCUGCAGGAUGCAAGUCAUUAGAAAGAUUUCCAGAAGUAUCAAGAAUAAUGGAAUUCAAUGGAAGCCACAUUAGAUCUCUAAAAGGGAUUGGCUUGGAUGGCUGCGACAAAAUGCAUGAGAAGAUUUGGAAUUAUAAAAGUGUCAAAUCCAUUACUGCGGAAGGCCGGACAUUAUAGAACCAAUGAGGACAGGGAGGAAGAAGAACGAGUAAUAAAUAUUGAGGGGCCAAACCAUUUGGAGGAUAUAAGCGGAAUUGUGGUGUAUGCCUCCAUUUUUUAUACAGGUCAUAUUGAUUACGCUGUAUAUGAUUCCGCUAUGGUAACCAUUAAAACCUCAAAUUGUGUAUGGCGAUUCAAAACUAAUGAAGCGUUAUGCUUGUCUAAUACUGAUAAAACGAAUGAAUUUAAUAAUGAAGUAAUGGUGUUGUACUCCGAUUUAGAAUCGUUUGAGCCAAAGGUUUUGGACGAUUUGGUUGUUCAACUUGAUAUUCCUACUUUUCUUCCGGGACUGUAUUAUGGGAGUUUGGGAGCCAAUAUUGUAUACAUGCAUGAAAGCAGAGCACAUAAAAGAAGAAAAAUGGAUUGAAUUAAAUGAUUGGCCAAGUGGUAUGGAAUUUCAGUUGUAGCAGGAUUUUUCAGUCCAUCCAAUUCAAAGGACAGAGAAGAAAUUGAAGAAAGUGAACACGGGGUGUUUGAUGAAAUGCCCCAGUUAACUUGAGAGCACCAAGAGUCUACUGUUUCUAUUUAUAAUGUGCAUUACAUCAACACAAGAGAUAUUUUGCCGUUGGAGACUUGUGUCUAUACAAGGUUACUUGCGGAAAUGAAAUAAUACAAAGUUGACAAAGUUGAAAUUAGCCGUUGCAUGGAUUGGGGUUGCCAUAUGGAUGAUCGUGAGAAUCUUUAGCAAAUGGGGAUGCGUUAACCAUGGCUGUGGCUAUUGCCGUGAGAGAUGGGUCUUCAUUUGCAUUGUACGAGAAUUUUGGACUAAUAGCCGUUGAAGUAAUGAGCAGCGGAUUACCCACCUUAAUUUGCAACAGAGGAGGUCCAGGAGAAAUAAUUGUUGAUGGAAUCUCAACGUUUCACAUUGUAUAAUGGUGACGAAUUGAGCCACAAGAUUGUUGAUUUCUUUGAAAUGUGCAAGGCGGGUCCUGAAAAUUGGAAUAAGAUCGCAAAAGCUAGUCUCUAGCGUAUAAAUAAAUCCUACGCAUGGAAGAUUUAAGCAAACAAGCUGCUGAACAUGGGAGCAGCGUAUGGAUUAUGGAGGCAGAUGAACAAGGAACAAAAGUUAGCUAAACAAAAACAUAUCAACAUAUUCUACAAUCUCCAAUUUAGGAAUUUGUGGAGUUUUUACAACUAUAUUUAGGCAUGUUGAAACUUAUCAAAAAAAAUAUUUAGGCAAAUUGAAGUCAUAAACAUUUAUAUUGAGUUCUAUUCAUUGUAUCAUAGGGAAGGAGUUUGCUCAUCCCAAGCGAAGAACCCCAACAAGCAACACCAGCUGCGACGUCUAAAGCCUAAACAACCAGCCAUAACGUCGACAACUGAAUCCCAGUCCAGACCAAGGCAUAUAAGCUAACUCUUAAGAAAAUAUAAUUUUUUUUAAAAAAAUUUACUGAACAAAAGUUAUUUGAUUUCCUUCCAUGGUUGUAAGUUAUGCAGAAGGGGGCAUAGAACAAGUUAGAGAAAAUGGUAGAAUUAAGAAGAAAUUAGUUUUCAUGUUUUUUAUUAAUGCAUAUUUCUUAUGCAACAAAUGGUCCUUUUAAAUAGUAAGAGAGGAAAUGCAAUAAAUGGACCAUUCUUGGUUCUCGGUCUUUUAAUUUAUUACCACCCAAUAUGAAACUGUAUCUUUUGUUCAUAUAGCUAAAGUGGAAGCAAGAUGUAGUGAGGAAAUAUAUCACUAAAUAUAGAAAAUGUAUAUUGUCAGGCAAGCAAACCAUUAGAAAGACUUCAAGAAAUAUCAAGAAUAUUGGAAUUCAAUGGAAGCCAUAUCCGAUCGCUAAAUUGUAUUAUCUGCAGUGGCUGUGACAAAUUGCAUGAGAAGAUUUGGACUUAUAAAGUGCCAAAUUCAUUGCUGUGGAAGGUAUGUAUGUACGUGUCUCAUGCUCUCUCUCAAUUCUAUAUAGGAGGCAUGCCACUAUGUUACCAGAAAAUUAGAUUCCAUAAUGGUUUGGGCAUCAGAAAGAAUUUUUAGAAAAUGAAAUUGUCAAGUUGGGGUAUGAAGAAGGGGUAAUAAAUAUUGAGGGGCCACACCAUUUGGAUGAUAUAAACGAAAUUGUAGGAUAUGCUUUUAUGUUUUUUAAAGAAGAAUGUGAGCUUGGGGUUGUUUGUAUCAUGAUGCUAAGGUAACCAUUAACAGCUCAAAUCGUGUAGGCCAUAUCGAUUGUAAUGAAGUGCUAUAUUUCAUUAAGGAUGAGCUAUAAUGAUGAUCUAAUGAAUAAAACCAGAGGCCAAUAAAAUGAUCUUUCUUCGUCCUUGAAACCAAAUUGAUCAACACAGUACUUUCGAACAAAAAUUACUUUAUACGUAAAUUAAACAUAAGUCUAUAUAGGUUUAGGUUUACUGAUAAUUAAUUCCAGUGUGAAGUUAAUUUAGACCUUUGAUUCUUCUUAAUUUAUUGAUUUCUUCAAGUACUGGCCAGGGAUCAUAUAAAUUAGACAUCCGAAGCUUCAAUUAUUUCCAUAGGAAGAGAAGUGCUUUUACCGUUUAUAUUCCAAACUAUAAAGAUUUACAAAAGUACCAAGAAUAUUGGAAUGCAAUGGAAGCCACAUCAAAUCACUACAAGUGAUUGGCUUGGAGGGCUGCGACAAAAUGCAUGAAAAGAUUUGGAAUUAUAAAGUGCCAAAUCCAUUACUAUGGAAGGGAUCCUCUUUGGGAACGGUAUUAUAUAAGUUGGGGAGCCAAUGUUGUAUACAAGCACCAAAGUAGAGCACAAAGAAGUUCUUUGGAAUUUCAGAAUGUUCAACCUUUUGAUUCACAUGUAGCAGGGAGUUUGUGUCAGCCCAGAUUGGUGGGUUAUACAGAGGCUCGGGAAGAUCAUCAAGAUAAUGCGAGACAGAGUUGGGGCAGAAAGGGGCUUGGGCGGGCCAAUGUGCAUGCCUACGAGCAACAAGGUCAUGUUGUGAAGCCUCAGAUUCUUGUGGUAACAAGAUUCUUGUGGAACACAGGAUAUUUCCAUGACAGGUGCAUAUAACUAACAGUGGCCUCGUCUCAUCUUCAAAAACCCCUAAAUUCACUGUCCUGCAGCUUGCUGACGCUGAGGGAGGGGGACGACCUCAAAUGGCUCGCUUUAUCCAAACCGCUCAAAGAACGCUCCGCUAUUCUUCUUCUCAGAAUACUCCGCACUGAGAUCCAGUAUACAGAGGCAAUGUGCACCUUCACCUUAGCUUGCUUGUUAAUAUCUCUAGGGGCGACGGUUGUAAUGAAUUGGAGUUUCUGUGCUCGUCUUGGCCCGACUCUUUGGAGGUUCAGAAAGUUUAUUUACUUAGGCGCAAUCGAAUGCUGGCUAAGACUUAAGAGGCAAUGGGAGUAAAUGACGAUCUCUUCGUUUUCUUGCAUGUAUAUAUGAACUUAUCCGGUGGUUGCCGAUUGGGAAGUGUCAAGAAUUUUGUACAAAAAUAGGAGAAAACGCUUUUUACGGUUUGUCUGAGAUUCAUUGAUCCAAAUUUCUAAUUUUAUUCGAUCUAUUGGACGCUGGGCUCAAAACUCAGGAUAAAAGUUCACCUAGACUUGUAAACUUGGUAAGACUCUGCAUAUAUGGUAUAUACGCAGAUUCAUUGUCAGGACCA
RNA transcript from Carya illinoinensis, 5092 nucleotides. RefSeq lists it as uncharacterized. The record is from RefSeq and is a predicted model, not a curated record. Lineage: Eukaryota; Viridiplantae; Streptophyta; Magnoliopsida; Fagales; Juglandaceae. The transcript is spliced from 11 exons.